Molecule: long non-coding RNA, 489 nt
Organism: Lepidothrix coronata (blue-crowned manakin)
Lineage: Eukaryota; Metazoa; Chordata; Aves; Passeriformes; Pipridae
Exons: 4
Source: RefSeq, a predicted model, not a curated record
ACAGACCACAACAGUACGGAAUGUCCCUCCACAGCUACGUUAGACUUUGGCUGUGACAUCAACAUUAGUUUAUUCCAUCAGCACUUCAUUUGAUGAAAAUUUCCCCUGCAAACUGCUUACCAGAGGCUUCAAAGGCUUUUGCAUUUCCCAGAGGAGCUCCAUUGUCUAUUAUUACUCUUCAAGAACAAAGAGAAACUGCAGUUUUCAGUGUCCUCUGAGUUAGUGUGCCUCUGCUCUUGCUUGUGGAGGAAGGUGAAGAACAGGAACUGCCUGCCUGGGCAAGCUGUGUCCACCAAACCCUGGCAAAGGUUUCCAGCCAUGGCUCAGUGUCUGUAGUCAGGCAAAAACCUUAGUGUGUGCCAGGAGGGGAAAACAACAGCAACUGAAGGCUCAGGCAGAGCUGCCUUAGUCUGUUCCAGUGCUUGGCUCUUGAUUAUGCUGUGGUGAAAUCUGGAUCCAGUCUUCAAAGAUAAAAUCUUUGCUCUUAUA